GAGGCCGAUUGGCCGAUGAGGCCGGCGCACGCCCCGAACAGCAGGCGCUCGGGGGGCGAGGGCUGCGCCUUCCCGCUGUGCUCUGGGGGGUAGAACUUGCAAUUAACACUCAAUUAAUGGGGAAAGCUGAAUUAAGGUGCAGGGUUUGUUAGUCAGGUGGUGCUCGCGAGGUUUUGUUCCACAGCGUUUGUUCCCUAAGAUUUUGUUUCCUGAGGUUUCGUUCCCCAGGUUUUGUUCCCCAGGUUUUGUUCACCAAGGUUUUGUUCACCAAGGUUUUGUUCCCUAGGUUUUAUUUCCCAGGUUCCUCUCCCAAGGUUUUGUUCACCAAUGUUUUGUUCCUCAGGUUUUGUUUCCCAAGGUUUUGUUCCCAAGGUUUUGCUCCCCAUGGUUUUGUUCCCAAGGUUUUGCUCCCCAUGGUUUUGUUCCCCAGGUUGAGCUACCAAGGUUUUGUCCCUGAGGUUUUGCUCCCCAGGUUUUGUUUCCCAGGUUCCUCUCCCAAGGUUUUGUUCCCCAGGGUUUGUUCCCCAAGAUUUUGUUCACCAAGGUUUUGUUCACCAAGGUUUUGUUCCCCAGGCUGUUCUCCUGAGGUUUUGUUUCCUGAGGUUUUGCUCCCUAGGUUUGGUUUCCCAGGUUCCUCUCCCAAGGUUUUGUUUCCCAAGAUGUUGUUCCCCAAGGUUUUGUUUCCCAGGUUGUUCUCCCAAGGUUUUGUUCACCAAGAUUUUGUCUCCUGAGGUUUUGUUCCCCAGGUUGUGUUCCCCAAGAUUUUGCUCACCAAGGUUUUGUUCACCAGGUU
Long non-coding RNA from Catharus ustulatus (Swainson's thrush), 793 nucleotides. RefSeq lists it as uncharacterized. Lineage: Eukaryota; Metazoa; Chordata; Aves; Passeriformes; Turdidae. The transcript is spliced from 3 exons. The record is from RefSeq and is a predicted model, not a curated record.